RNAcentral lists this ribosomal RNA (253 nucleotides) under uncultured bacterium. RNAcentral's name for it is "partial 16S ribosomal RNA". It matches the Rfam family "Bacterial small subunit ribosomal RNA", at positions 524 to 776 of the family's 1533-position model. The record is from RNAcentral.
UACGUAGGGUGCGAGCGUUGUCCGGAAUUAUUGGGCGUAAAGGGCUCGUAGGCGGUCUGUCGCGUCGGGAGUGAAAACUCGGGGCUUAACUCCGAGCCUGCUUCUGAUACGGGCAGACUAGAGGUAUGCAGGGGAGAAUGGAAUUCCUGGUGUAGCGGUGAAAUGCGCAGAUAUCAGGAAGAACACCCGUGGCUAAGGCGGCUCUCUAGUACGGUACUGACGCUGAGACGCGAAAGCGUGGGGAGCGAACAGG